CGUAUGGGUUCUAUUUUGUUGGGUUUCUAGGACCAUCGUAAUGAUUAAUAGGGACGGUCGGGGGCAUCAGUAUUCAGUUGUCAGAGGUGAAAUUCUUGGAUUAACUGAAGACUAACUACUGCGAAAGCAUUUGCCAAGGACGUUUUCAUUAAUCAAGAACGAAAGUUAGGGGAUCGAAGAUGAUCAGAUACCGUCGUAGUCUUAACCAUAAACUAUGCCGACUAGGGAUCGGGUGGCGCUACUUUGCCCACUCGGCAUCUUACGAGAAAUCAAAGUUUUUGGGUUCUGGGGGGAGUAUGGUUGCAAGGCUGAAACUUAAAGGAAUUGACGGAAGGGCACCACCAGGAGUGGAGCCUGCGGCUUAAUUUGACUCAACACGGGGAAACUCACCAGGUCCAGACGUAAUAAGGAUUGACAAGUUAGAGACUUCUCCUGAUCUUACGGGUGGUGGCGCAUGGCCGUUUUUAGUCCUUGGAGUGAUUUGUCUGCUUAAUUGCGAUAACGAACGAGACCUUAACCUACUAAAUAGCGCGACUAGCUUUUGCUGGUGCUGACGCUUCUUAGAGGGACUAUCGAUUUCAAGUCGAUGGAAGUUUGAGGCAAUAACAGGUCUGUGAUGCCCUUAGACGUUCUGGGCCGCACGCGCGCUACACUGACGGAGCCAGCGAGUCUAACCUUGGCCGAGAGGUCUUGGUAGUCUUGUGAAACUCCGUCGUGC
RNAcentral lists this ribosomal RNA (718 nucleotides) under uncultured fungus. Its description in RNAcentral is "SSU rRNA". It matches the Rfam family "Eukaryotic small subunit ribosomal RNA", at positions 826 to 1570 of the family's 1831-position model. Lineage: Eukaryota; Fungi. The record is from RNAcentral.